GGAAGUCCUUUGAGUUUACAGGCGCAUCCAUGGAGACAGAAAAGUUGAAAAUAGUGAGGAAUCGUGUCAGUGUGACACAAGGACAAUGGAUUACAAGAUCUGCGUGGAAAUAUUUAUUCUAACAUGGAUUAUGACAAUGACGCAAAGGUAUCAGGAUCCAGCUGAUUCCAGUGCUGGGAUGCAGAGUAAGAGAAGGUUCUGGCCCACAUGGUGCUGAGGAAAAUGGAGGAGACGGAAAAGAGACAGAGGACCUGACGGAGUGGGAGGGCGAGUGAAUGAAGAGGAGCUUGGACAGGAAAACCUGUGUGAUGUAAUGUGUGCCAUAAGUAUCGAUCAAAUUGCGAUAUGGUAACCCAGAAGAAUUUGGAGGAAGAGACUCCACAGCCGUUUUAAAUUCAAGAUGCAAAGCCACCUUGGAAUGGGAACCUCCAACAGAAAAACCAACUGAGGUUAAAGGAAUAUCAAGACCAAGUUUCCAGUUGUUGGACACAGAUG
Gambusia affinis (western mosquitofish) is the source of this 495-nucleotide long non-coding RNA. RefSeq lists it as uncharacterized. The transcript has 4 exons. The record is from RefSeq and is a predicted model, not a curated record. NCBI's taxonomy places the organism in Eukaryota, Metazoa, Chordata, Actinopteri, Cyprinodontiformes, Poeciliidae.